AAUUCGCCCUUAGAGUUUGAUCCUGGCUCAGGAUGAACGCUAGCUACAGGCUUAACACAUGCAAGUCGAGGGGCAGCGGGAUUGAAGCUUGCUUCAAUUGCCGGCGACCGGCGCACGGGUGAGUAACGCGUAUCCAACCUUCCGUACACUCAGGGAUAGCCUUUCGAAAGAAAGAUUAAUACCUGAUGGUAUGAUGAGAUUGCAUGAUAGCAUCAUUAAAGAUUUAUCGGUGUACGAUGGGGAUGCGUUCCAUUAGGUAGUAGGCGGGGUAACGGCCCACCUAGCCAACGAUGGAUAGGGGUUCUGAGAGGAAGGUCCCCCACAUUGGAACUGAGACACGGUCCAAACUCCUACGGGAGGCAGCAGUGAGGAAUAUUGGUCAAUGGACGAGAGUCUGAACCAGCCAAGUAGCGUGAAGGAUGAAGGUCCUACGGAUUGUAAACUUCUUUUAUAAGGGAAUAAACCCUCCCACGUGUGGGAGCUUGUAUGUACCUUAUGAAUAAGCAUCGGCUAACUCCGUGCCAGCAGCCGCGGUAAUACGGAGGAUGCGAGCGUUAUCCGGAUUUAUUGGGUUUAAAGGGAGCGCAGACGGGUCGUUAAGUCAGCUGUGAAAGUUUGGGGCUCAACCUUAAAAUUGCAGUUGAUACUGGCGUCCUUGAGUGCGGUUGAGGUGUGCGGAAUUCGUGGUGUAGCGGUGAAAUGCUUAGAUAUCACGAAGAACUCCGAUUGCGAAGGCAGCACACUAAUCCGUAACUGACGUUCAUGCUCGAAAGUGUGGGUAUCAAACAGGAUUAGAUACCCUGGUAGUCCACACGGUAAACGAUGGAUACUCGCUGUUGGCGAUAUACUGUCAGCGGCUUAGCGAAAGCGUUAAGUAUCCCACCUGGGGAGUACGCCGGCAACGGUGAAACUCAAAGGACAU
Molecule: ribosomal RNA, 922 nt
Filed under: uncultured bacterium
Lineage: Bacteria
Description: bacterial SSU rRNA
Rfam family: Bacterial small subunit ribosomal RNA
Source: RNAcentral